Molecule: ribosomal RNA, 229 nt
Filed under: uncultured bacterium
Lineage: Bacteria
Description: partial 16S ribosomal RNA
Rfam family: Bacterial small subunit ribosomal RNA
Source: RNAcentral
UCCGUAGGCGGAUUAAUAAGUCAGAGGUGAAAUCCCACAGCUUAACUGUGGAACUGCCUUUGAUACUGUUAGUCUUGAGUUAUAUGGAAGUAGAUAGAAUGUGUAGUGUAGCGGUGAAAUGCAUAGAGAUUACACAGAAUACAGAUUGCGAAGGCAGUCUACUACGUAUAUACUGACGCUAAUGGACGAAAGCGUGGGGAGCGAACAGGAUUAGAUACCCUGGUAGUCC